CUGGAACUGUUCAGCUUUGCUCUGGUACAGAACACCAGACCAUCACUGGGAGCCCCACGCUGCAUCCUGGCUCUGGACCUCAGGAGAAGCCCAGCAGCACUCCAAAAGUCCACCAGUUUUCUCCACAAUGAGGCAACAGAUACCAUGAUCCAAACCAGGCUCUUGGGCCAAGAUAAAAGGUACCUGCUUCUAAUUCCUUUGCUGACAACAUGGCUGGGCUCAUUGUGGUGGAGAAACCAACCCUACACGACGUGGGAAGAAGGCAAAGGAGAAUCCCCUGGUUGUCAGGGUGCUGAGGAAUGUGGUAAUGUAACCACUCGGUCAACCUGACUGCCAGGAGUUUUCCUCUACAACAAAAGGAAAGCCACAUGGGCAUGGCUAUGACCCUGCCUCUGCAAAGGACCCUUUCCCUCUUAUUCUCAACAAAUAUUGAUCUGAAAGCCAAAUGGGAAUGCUUCACACCAGGCCCUACUGAAGAAACUAUUGGA
Molecule: long non-coding RNA, 488 nt
Filed under: Junco hyemalis (dark-eyed junco)
Lineage: Eukaryota; Metazoa; Chordata; Aves; Passeriformes; Passerellidae
Description: lncRNA (ENSJHYG00000012707.1)
Source: RNAcentral